RNAcentral lists this transfer RNA (76 nucleotides) under Butyrivibrio sp. RNAcentral describes it as "tRNA-Asn". It matches the Rfam family "tRNA". From Rfam's summary of the family: Transfer RNA (tRNA) molecules are approximately 80 nucleotides in length. Their secondary structure includes four short double-helical elements and three loops (D, anti-codon, and T loops). Further hydrogen bonds mediate the characteristic L-shaped molecular structure. tRNAs have two regions of fundamental functional importance: the anti-codon, which is responsible for specific mRNA codon recognition, and the 3' end, to which the tRNAs corresponding amino acid is attached (by aminoacyl-tRNA synthetases). tRNAs cope with the degeneracy of the genetic code in two manners: having more than one tRNA (with a specific anti-codon) for a particular amino acid; and 'wobble' base-pairing, i.e. permitting non-standard base-pairing at the 3rd anti-codon position. The record is from RNAcentral. Lineage: Bacteria; Bacillati; Bacillota; Clostridia; Lachnospirales; Lachnospiraceae. RNAcentral also lists the same sequence under 1 other name.
UCCUCCUUAGCUCAGUCGGUAGAGCAUUCGGCUGUUAACCGAAGUGUCGUUGGUUCGAGUCCGACAGGGGGAGCGA